Molecule: long non-coding RNA, 405 nt
Organism: Pelobates fuscus (common spadefoot toad)
Lineage: Eukaryota; Metazoa; Chordata; Amphibia; Anura; Pelobatidae
Exons: 2
Source: RefSeq, a predicted model, not a curated record
CCCCCCCCCCCAGAUGUUGCUGAACUACAACUCCUAUGAUUCUUUGAAUUACAUAGAUAGCCAGAGAAUCAUGGGAGUUGUAGUUCAGCAACAUCUGGGGGGCCGGAGUUUGAGGACCCCUCCUCUGGAGCAUCUUAACCUGCUAAGCCUGCCAAGAAGAAGCAAGAGGAGGAUGACGGUGAUAUGAGAUAACUAAAAAGCUCAGCUGCAAUGUGAAUUUUUCAAAAGCCCUUGAAGGUUGCCCAGAUGGACAUCUCCCAUCAAAUAUCACCCUUUUAAACUAAACGUCUACCAAAGUUGAGAAUCGUUGAUUUGGAUUAUGAGUAAUUCAUCACCAUGUAUUAGUAAUGUGUAGUUUUAUUCCAUGUGAGCAUUAUCGUUUAAUAAAAUGCCUUUGCCGAUAAA